AUACGUAGGGGGCGAGCGUUGUCCGGAAUGAUUGGGCGUAAAGGGCGCGUAGGCGGCCCGGUAAGUCUGGAGUGAAAGUCCUGUUUUUAAGAUGGGAAUUGCUUUGGAUACUGUCGGGCUUGAGUGCAGGAGAGGUAAGUGGAAUUCCCAGUGUAGCGGUGAAAUGCGUAGAGAUUGGGAGGAACACCAGUGGCGAAGGCGACUUACUGGACUGUAACUGACGCUGAGGCGCGAAAGUGUGGGGAGCAAACAGGAUUAGAUACCCUGGUAGUCCACACUGUAAACGAUGAAUGCUAGGUGUAAGAGGUAUCGACCCCUUUUGUGCCGCAGUCAACACAAUAAGCAUUCCGCCUGGGGAGUACGGCCGCAAGAUUAAAACUCAAAUGAAUUGACGGGG
Molecule: ribosomal RNA, 397 nt
Filed under: uncultured bacterium
Lineage: Bacteria
Description: partial 16S ribosomal RNA
Rfam family: Bacterial small subunit ribosomal RNA
Source: RNAcentral